GGAAGUCAUUUGCAGUCAAACUUCCUCAGAUCCAUCUCCAGUCAUUGGAUUGUCUACAGUAAACAGGACAACAAAUUUGUUAAGACUUGAAUGGAUAAUGCCAAGUGAUACGAGAACCUCUGAUUAUACCUACCAAAGUACUGUAUAUGCAAGUCCAGGCACAACAGUACAAUACACGUUGUCGGAACCGUCAGUCACUCCUGAGCACACAUUGACCACUCCUGAGGAGGUGACCACAAAUCCAUCUCCAGUCACUGAACUUUCUGCAGUAAACAGGACAAUAAAUUCAUUAACAAUUGAAUGGACAGUGCCAACGGAUGCAAGAGCAG
Long non-coding RNA from Pristis pectinata (smalltooth sawfish), 329 nucleotides. RefSeq lists it as uncharacterized. Lineage: Eukaryota; Metazoa; Chordata; Chondrichthyes; Rhinopristiformes; Pristidae. The record is from RefSeq and is a predicted model, not a curated record. The transcript is spliced from 3 exons.